Molecule: ribosomal RNA, 482 nt
Filed under: uncultured bacterium
Lineage: Bacteria
Description: partial 16S ribosomal RNA
Rfam family: Bacterial small subunit ribosomal RNA
Source: RNAcentral
AUUGAACGCUGGCGGCAUGCCUUACACAUGCAAGUCGAACGGUAACGGGCCUUCGGGUGCCGACGAGUGGCGAACGGGUGCGUAAUACAUCGGAACGUGCCCGAUCUUGGGGGAUAACGAGGCGAAAGCUUUGCUAAUACCGCAUACGAUCUACGGAUGAAAGCAGGGGACCGCAAGGCCUUGCGCGGACGGAGCGGCCGAUGGCAGAUUAGGUAGUUGGUGGGAUAAAAGCUUACCAAGCCGACGAUCUGUAGCUGGUCUGAGAGGAUGAUCAGCCACACUGGGACUGAGACACGGCCCAGACUCCUACGGGAGGCAGCAGUGGGGAAUUUUGGACAAUGGGCGCAAGCCUGAUCCAGCCAUGCCGCGUGCAGGAUGAAGGCCUUCGGGUUGUAAACUGCUUUUGUACGGAACGAAAAGCCUUCUUUUAAUACAGGAGGGUCAUGACGGUACCGUAAGAAUAAGCACCGGCUAACUACGUG